RNAcentral lists this ribosomal RNA (251 nucleotides) under Capronia munkii. Its description in RNAcentral is "partial large subunit ribosomal RNA". It matches the Rfam family "Eukaryotic large subunit ribosomal RNA", at positions 399 to 664 of the family's 3401-position model. Lineage: Eukaryota; Fungi; Ascomycota; Eurotiomycetes; Chaetothyriales; Herpotrichiellaceae. The record is from RNAcentral.
GUGAAAUUGUUGAAAGGGAAGCGCUUGCAACCAGACUUGCGCGCGAUGGUUCGCCCUUCCUUCUGGUUGGGCUACUCCGUCGUGUCCAGGCCAACAUCGGUUCUGGGGGUCGGUUAAAGGCUCGGGGAAUGUAUCUACCCCCCGGGCGUAGACUUAUAGCCCCGAGUGUCAUGCGGCCUUCCGGGACCGAGGAACGCGCUUCGGCUCGGAUGUUGGCGUAAUGGUUGUCAGCGACCCGUCUUGAAACACGG